UACGGAGGGUCCAAGCGUUAUCCGGAAUCAUUGGGUUUAAAGGGUCCGUAGGCGGUUUUGUAAGUCAGUGGUGAAAGCCCAUCGCUCAACGGUGGAACGGCCAUUGAUACUGCAAGACUUGAAUUACUAGGAAGUAACUAGAAUAUGUAGUGUAGCGGUGAAAUGCUUAGAUAUGACAUAGAACACCAAUUGCGCAGGCAGCUUACUACACAGUAAUUGACACUGAGGCACGAAAGCGUGGGGAUCAAACAGG
Molecule: ribosomal RNA, 253 nt
Filed under: uncultured bacterium
Lineage: Bacteria
Description: partial 16S ribosomal RNA
Rfam family: Bacterial small subunit ribosomal RNA
Source: RNAcentral